AGCUAUGGUGAAUCGGUGGACCGAAUUAUCGUUUUGUGACAACGGGAACGAAACGAUUUUUUACCCACAUUAUUACCGAACUACACUCACAUCCUGACCUUAUGUAUUUGGUUGGGGAAUGACAUGACUGAAUUAUAAAUGAUAUACAAAAGUUUAAAUUAAAAUCACGUAAAAGCGAAGAAAACAAAAACAGAAACCAAAAAAUUCUUGACCUUACUCGGUAUUCUUUACAGUUUCCGUUCCUUUUGUAAGUAUAAGAAUAAAAACAAUGCCUAUUUUCGCUUUGCGGUUGCCUGCUGAGCAGAAAACUAAGCGAACCUUAAUAUUCUUUAAACUUUCCACCAUAUUUACUUUUAUACAUUAGAACUGUGUUGUUCAAUUUCCUUAAUUUUUUCGACUGCAAAUUACAGUAAAGUAACAAUACGUACUAGAGGAUAUACAAAAUAUCUGUUUUAAAUGACAGAUAUUUACUAUGUCUUUAAUGAAAGAUAUAAUACCUACUUGUAGGUAGUAUUCUCUAUCAGUAAGCCCAUGCGCAAAUAUCGUACACUCAAAGGACUGAUGAUGAAUGCUGGACAGGUCGGUACAAUAACUUUUUGUAGCCAAGUCCAUCGCCAAACGUUUCUCCUUCAACUAACUAACUAACUAUAAGAACAAUCAUGCACGUAUAACCAAAUUAUUGUUCCCGUAUGCACAUACGUUAUUGUACAUUUGAGUAUGCAAACAUGAAGGCGACACAUCCGCUAACAUGCCAAAUGUAUAUCAUUCAUUGACUGCCACUCGCUUAGCUAAAAGUGCGAACGCAUAUGUAAUUCUAUGAGAAAUUUAGUCAUUUCCACAUGUAACAGUAAUUUUGCGAAUACUAAGGCUAACAUGACAAUCGUAAGCCAAGAAGACUUCCUAAUUUCACUUCAGACGGAUGAGCAAUUCACAACUAAAAGUUGCCUCAAAUCACUACUACCUGUAUCACGAUUAGAAUGAAAAUGUCGGAUUUUUGAGAUGUUAUCGCCAUGAUGCAAUCUUUUCGCAACUAAGUACUUUUUCUAUUAGCAAGAUAAACCGACUCCUUGAAGCAACUUCAUUCUCUAGUCCUUAUUCUGAUCUCCAAGUUAGGUAAAUGGAAAUUCAACUAUUUGUGCAGAAACCCCAUCUCCCAUUAUUACCCUUGCUGCUCUUCUUUCUAUCUGUACACUUUGGGAAGGGACUGUUGAGUCGGACAUUCAACACUUUUUACAGCCACCAAAAAUAGGUUGCCUAGACUAACAAUAGGAAGGAACUUGUCGUCAUGUUAAAAAUCGGCCUUGCUCAUAAUAAUUAUUUUAUUAUUUUAUUUUUUUUUUAUUAGUUUUGGACGCAGCGAUAAAAUGCCCGAUAAGGUUAGAAAGAAUAGGUUAUUGGCAAGAAAGUAGGGUUAACAAGUGAGUCGGUAGAAAGCAUGUUAAUCAAGCGAGUAUGCAAAGUCUUCGUCAAGGAUUCCACUCACAAUAGCAAAGGCA
Molecule: long non-coding RNA, 1496 nt
Filed under: Schizosaccharomyces pombe (fission yeast)
Lineage: Eukaryota; Fungi; Ascomycota; Schizosaccharomycetes; Schizosaccharomycetales; Schizosaccharomycetaceae
Description: non-coding RNA, possible alternative UTR
Source: RNAcentral